This 455-nucleotide ribosomal RNA is filed under the name Streptococcus sp. oral taxon 064. RNAcentral's name for it is "bacterial SSU rRNA". It matches the Rfam family "Bacterial small subunit ribosomal RNA", at positions 28 to 469 of the family's 1533-position model. The record is from RNAcentral. Lineage: Bacteria; Bacillati; Bacillota; Bacilli; Lactobacillales; Streptococcaceae.
GACGAACGCUGGCGGCGUGCCUAAUACAUGCAAGUAGAACGCUGAAGGAGGAGCUUGCUCUUCUGGAUGAGUUGCGAACGGGUGAGUAACGCGUAGGUAACCUGCCUGGUAGCGGGGGAUAACUAUUGGAAACGAUAGCUAAUACCGCAUAAUAGUAGAUGUUGCAUGACAUUUACUUAAAAGGUGCAAUUGCAUCACUACCAGAUGGACCUGCGUUGUAUUAGCUAGUUGGUGGGGUAACGGCUCACCAAGGCGACGAUACAUAGCCGACCUGAGAGGGUGAUCGGCCACACUGGGACUGAGACACGGCCCAGACUCCUACGGGAGGCAGCAGUAGGGAAUCUUCGGCAAUGGACGGAAGUCUGACCGAGCAACGCCGCGUGAGUGAAGAAGGUUUUCGGAUCGUAAAGCUCUGUUGUAAGAGAAGAACGAGUGUGAGAGUGGAAAGUUCACAC